RNAcentral lists this ribosomal RNA (468 nucleotides) under uncultured bacterium. RNAcentral describes it as "partial 16S ribosomal RNA". It matches the Rfam family "Bacterial small subunit ribosomal RNA", at positions 28 to 507 of the family's 1533-position model. The record is from RNAcentral.
GACGAACGCUGGCGGCGUGCUUAACACAUGCAAGUCGAACGGAAAGGCCCUGCUUUUGUGGGGUGCUCGAGUGGCGAACGGGUGAGUAACACGUGAGUAACCUGCCCUUGACUUUGGGAUAACUUCAGGAAACUGGGGCUAAUACCGGAUAGGAGCUCCUGCUGCAUGGUGGGGGUUGGAAAGUUUCGGCGGUUGGGGAUGGACUCGCGGCUUAUCAGCUUGUUGGUGGGGUAGUGGCUUACCAAGGCUUUGACGGGUAGCCGGCCUGAGAGGGUGACCGGCCACAUUGGGACUGAGAUACGGCCCAGACUCCUACGGGAGGCAGCAGUGGGGAAUAUUGCACAAUGGGCGGAAGCCUGAUGCAGCAACGCCGCGUGCGGGAUGACGGCCUUCGGGUUGUAAACCGCUUUUGCCUGUGACUAAGCGUGAGUGACGGUAAUGGGUAAAGAAGCACCGGCUAACUACGUG